AGUGAACGCUGGCGGUAGGCCUAACACAUGCAAGUCGAACGGCAGCACAGUAAGAGCUUCCUACUACGGAUGGAGAGUGGAGGAAGGGUGAUGACAAAUUCGGACACUACUUUUACGCGGGGGCUAACGUCGGGAAACUUACGCUAAUACCGCAUUAGACUUACGGAUGAAAGCAGCGGAUCUUCGGACCUUGCGCGCCUGAAUGCGCCGAUGUCGGGUUAGCGAGCUGGCGGGGUAAAGGCCCACCAAGGCGACGAACCGUAGCCGGUCUGAGAGGAUGAGCAGCCACACUGGGACUGAGACACGGUCCAGACUCCUACGGGAGGCGGCAGUAGGAAAUAUUGGACAAUGGGCGGAAGCCUGAUCCAGCCAGACCACGUGGGUGAAGAAGGACUUCUGGUUGUAAAACCCUUUUGUUGGGAAAGAAAAGCAGCUUGUUAAUACACCACUAUUCUGACGGUACCCAAAGAAUAAGCACCGGCUAACUUCGUG
Molecule: ribosomal RNA, 492 nt
Filed under: uncultured bacterium
Lineage: Bacteria
Description: partial 16S ribosomal RNA
Rfam family: Bacterial small subunit ribosomal RNA
Source: RNAcentral